RNAcentral lists this ribosomal RNA (460 nucleotides) under uncultured bacterium. RNAcentral's name for it is "partial 16S ribosomal RNA". It matches the Rfam family "Bacterial small subunit ribosomal RNA", at positions 338 to 795 of the family's 1533-position model. The record is from RNAcentral.
CCUACGGGCAGCAGCAGUGAGGAAUAUUGGUCAAUGGACGAGAGUCUGAACCAGCCAAGUAGCGUGAAGGAUGACUGCCCUAUGGGUUGUAAACUUCUUUUAUAUGGGAAUAAAAUGUUCCACGUGUGGGAUUUUGUAUGUACCAUAUGAAUAAGGAUCGGCUAACUCCGUGCCAGCAGCCGCGGUAAUACGGAGGAUCCGAGCGUUAUCCGGAUUUAUUGGGUUUAAAGGGAGCGUAGGUGGAUUGUUAAGUCAGUUGUGAAAGUUUGCGGCUCAACCGUAAAAUUGCAGUUGAAACUGGCAGUCUUGAGUACAGUAGAGGUGGGCGGAAUUCGUGGUGUAGCGGUGAAAUGCUUAGAUAUCACGAAGAACUCCGAUUGCGAAGGCAGUUCACUGGACUGCAACUGACACUGAGGCUCGAAAGUGUGGGUAUCAAACAGGAUUAGAUACCCCAGUAGUC